This 459-nucleotide ribosomal RNA is filed under the name uncultured bacterium. RNAcentral describes it as "partial 16S ribosomal RNA". It matches the Rfam family "Bacterial small subunit ribosomal RNA", at positions 338 to 795 of the family's 1533-position model. The record is from RNAcentral.
CCUACGGGAGGCAGCAGUGAGGAAUAUUGGUCAAUGGGCGGGAGCCUGAACCAGCCAAGUCGCGUGAAGGAAGAAGGUACUUAGUAUUGUAAACUUCUUUUGUCGGGGAACAAAGGCGGAGACGCGUCUCCGGAUGAGUGUACCCGAAGAAAAAGCAUCGGCUAACUCCGUGCCAGCAGCCGCGGUAAUACGGAGGAUGCGAGCGUUAUCCGGAUUUAUUGGGGUUAAAGGGUGCGCAGGCGGGCGAUCAAGUCAGCGGUAAAAUGUCGGGGCUCAACCCCGGCCGGCCGUUGAAACUGGUUGUCUAGAGUUGGAGAGAAGUAUGCGGAAUUCGUGGUGUAGCGUUGAAAUGCAUAGAUAUCACGAAGAACUCCGAUUGCGAAGGCAGCAUACCGGCUCCAUACUGACGCUGAGGCACGAAAGCGUGGGGAUCGAACAGGAUUAGAUACCCUUGUAGUC